AACGAACGCUGGCGGCGUGCCUAACACAUGCAAGUCGAACGAGAAAGGGGCUUCGGCUCCGAGUAAAGUGGCGCACGGGUGAGUAACACGUGGGUAACCUGCCUCUAAGAUUGGGAUAACUCGUCGAAAGAUGAGCUAAUACCGAAUAAGACCACAGUUCCCGCGGGAACAGGGGUCAAAGGUAGCCUCUGCUUGCAAGCUAUCACUUAGAGAUGAGCCUGCGCACCAUUAGCUAGUUGGUAGGGUAACGGCCUACCAAGGCAAAGAUGGUUAGCUGGUCUGAGAGGAUGAUCAGCCACACUGGGACUGGGAAACGGUCCAGACUCCUACGGGAGGCAGCAGUGGGGAAUAUUGCGCAAUGGGCGAAAGCUUGACGCAGCAACGCCGCGUGAGUGAUGAAGGCCUUCGGGUCGUAAAGCUCUGUCGGGAGGAACGAAUGCUCCUGAGGUUAACAGCCUCGGGAGGUGACGGUACCUUCAAAGGAAGCACCGGCUAACUCUGUG
This 503-nucleotide ribosomal RNA is filed under the name uncultured bacterium. RNAcentral describes it as "partial 16S ribosomal RNA". It matches the Rfam family "Bacterial small subunit ribosomal RNA", at positions 29 to 507 of the family's 1533-position model. The record is from RNAcentral.